UGGGGAAUAUUGCACAAUGGAGGAAACUCUGAUGCAGCAACGCCGCGUGGAGGAUGACACAUUUCGGUGCGUAAACUCCUUUUAUUAGGGAAGAUAAUGACGGUACCUAAUGAAUAAGCACCGGCUAACUCCGUGCCAGCAGCCGCGGUAAUACGGGGGGUGCAAGCGUUACUCGGAAUCACUGGGCGUAAAGAGCAUGUAGGCUGGUUUGUAAGUUGGAAGUGAAAUCCUAUGGCUCAACCAUAGAACUGCUUCCAAAACUACUUACCUAGAGUAUGGGAGAGGUAGAUGGAAUUUCUGGUGUAGGGGUAAAAUCCGUAGAGAUCAGAAGGAAUACCGAUUGCGAAGGCGAUCUACUGGAACAUUACUGACGCUGAGAUGCGAAAGCGUGGGGAGCAAACA
RNAcentral lists this ribosomal RNA (402 nucleotides) under uncultured Campylobacterota bacterium. RNAcentral describes it as "bacterial SSU rRNA". It matches the Rfam family "Bacterial small subunit ribosomal RNA", at positions 355 to 774 of the family's 1533-position model. Lineage: Bacteria; Pseudomonadati; Campylobacterota. The record is from RNAcentral.